RNAcentral lists this ribosomal RNA (301 nucleotides) under uncultured bacterium. RNAcentral describes it as "partial 16S ribosomal RNA". It matches the Rfam family "Bacterial small subunit ribosomal RNA", at positions 509 to 807 of the family's 1533-position model. The record is from RNAcentral.
CAGCAGCCACGGUAAUACGUAGGGUGCAAGCGUUAAUCGGAAUUACUGGGCGUAAAGCGUGCGCAGGCGGUUUGUUAAGACAGAUGUGAAAUCCCCGGGCUCAACCUGGGAACUGCAUUUGUGACUGGCAAGCUAGAGUGUGGCAGAGGGGGGUGGAAUUCCGCGUGUAGCAGUGAAAUGCGUAGAUAUGCGGAGGAACACCGAUGGCGAAGGCAGCCCCCUGGGCCAACACUGACGCUCAUGCACGAAAGCGUGGGGAGCAAACCGGAUUAGAUACCCCUGUAGUCCCUGUCUCUUAUAC